UGAGCGCAGCACCAGCAUAUGGUGCGUGCGGUGUGUACGGUGCGUGCGGUGCAUGCGGUGCGUGCAGUCUGCCCGCAGGGACUGGCGCCGGCUGCAGCUGCGGGUGCCGCAGGGUGCUGCAGGGCUCCUCUGCUCCCCGCGGGAAUGAGCCUCUUGUGCUGCACAGGGAUGUCUGCGGGGGGGACAAGUGCCUGCGGGGCUGCUCCAGGUCCCUUUCUCAUGGGGCAUCCACAGCCCAACAAAUGUCCCUGCUGUUUCCAGUGGUGUGAGCGUUUUGCAAAGUGCUGGGCGUGGUGAAAGGCAGGCGACAAGUGCUGGGCAUCAAUCCUUAGGUAGCUGUGGGGCAGCUGCUCAGGAUGUACCAAAGCCACCGAAGGCCCCAAGUUGGCCGGGCACUGAGGCACUUGGCCCUGCGAUCAGCCGGCACUUAGCGCUGCACAUUGCCAGGGGAGCCCGCAGUUUGCUGAAGGUUGCAAGGAGGAACAAUUCUCUGGAAGGUGCCCAUCCCUGGAAUAGAAAGCCGUAAGUGCCUGCUGCCCAGAGGCUCGGGAUGUUGCUGCAGGAGAUCUGCCCUGCCUAGAAACCCCACCUCACGUUCCUGCACAUGAAAAUGUCUGUCCAGAACCAGCUGGGGGUGGAGGAAAAAAUCAGGCAAACCUUGACUGGAUGCUGCGAGAGGAUGCGGCAGCCGGCUAAGAAUAGAAAUGCCUCCUCCGGCUUCCAGUCUGGCCAGUGCAGGAGGCCAAUGCUGCCCGCAGCAGGGCACUUCUUCACUUAAUGCGUCCACAGGGAGCAAUCGUGCGGGGAGUGGCGGAGCGCUGGGAGGAAGCGCGCCGCAGGCCGAGCCGAGCAAUGCCAGGGAACACCUUCGCUGCUGAUAAAUAAAAGAGAAAUAUGCUUCCUGCUCGGCUGCGGUGAUUGCAGCAUACAUCAGAAUUACAGCGCUGCUGGCAGGCUGUGCAGAGCAUGGUGCUGACAGAUCCCCGCGUGGAGACGGAUGGGACAGCCGGGCACUUUAUUCAGGAAAGAUGGAAGAAGUGAAAGAUGUGUUAAAUGGCAAUAACCCCUCGAUGAAGUAUUUCACCAUGUCAGACACCAGUAAAUGAUGGCAGCUGUAUCCAGCCUUGAUUAUUUCAUGUCUAUUUGCAACCUUCCAUUAAAAAAUGUACACGCUCUCUAA
This is a long non-coding RNA of Cygnus olor (mute swan), 1180 nucleotides long. RefSeq lists it as uncharacterized. Lineage: Eukaryota; Metazoa; Chordata; Aves; Anseriformes; Anatidae. The record is from RefSeq and is a predicted model, not a curated record. The transcript has 2 exons.